This 611-nucleotide ribosomal RNA is filed under the name Acidobacteriota bacterium. Its description in RNAcentral is "bacterial SSU rRNA". It matches the Rfam family "Bacterial small subunit ribosomal RNA", at positions 1 to 646 of the family's 1533-position model. Lineage: Bacteria; Pseudomonadati; Acidobacteriota. The record is from RNAcentral.
ACAUGAGAGUUUGAUCCCGGCUCAGAAUCAACGCUGGCGGCGCGCUUAACACAUGCAAGUCGAACGAGAAAGUGGAGCAAUCCAUGAGUACAGUGGCGCACUGGUGAGUAACACGUGGAUCAUUUACCUCCUUGUGGGGAAUAACCUUGGGAAACCGAGGCUAAUACCGCAUAAGUCCGAGAGGAGAAAGCCGCAAGGCGCAGGGAGAGAAGUCCGCGGCCGAUUAGCUAGUUGGUAGGGUAAUGGCCUACCAAGGCGACGAUCGGUAGCCGGCCUGAGAGGGCACACGGCCACACUGGCACUGAAACACGGGCCAGACUCCUACGGGAGGCAGCAGUGGGGAAUCUUGCACAAUGGGGGAAACCCUGAUGCAGCGACGCCGCGUGAGCGAUGAAGCCCUUCGGGGUGUAAAGCUCUUUCGACGGGGACGAUAAUGACGGUACCCGGAGAAGAAGCUGCGGCUAACUACGUGCCAGCAGCCGCGGUAAUACGUAGGCAGCAAGCGUUGUUCGGAAUUACUGGGCGUAAAGGGCGCGUAGGCGGCCUGCUAAGUCGAACGUGAAAUCCCCGGGCUCAACCCGGGAACUGCGUCCGAUACUGGCAGGCUUGAA